Salvia splendens (bonfire salvia) is the source of this 711-nucleotide long non-coding RNA. RefSeq lists it as uncharacterized. The transcript is spliced from 3 exons. NCBI's taxonomy places the organism in Eukaryota, Viridiplantae, Streptophyta, Magnoliopsida, Lamiales, Lamiaceae. The record is from RefSeq and is a predicted model, not a curated record.
UUGAUCCCCAUCCUUAUACUCUCUUUUUCGUUCCCUCUCUUUCCAAGUCUCUUCACUCUCUCUGUAAUCUACGCAACAGCCUGCUCUCUCCCUCUGAUCAGCCACCGCGACUCCUCCGGCCGCUCCAUCGUGUAACAUGUAAAACACUCCAUCAAUCCAAGCUCUCAAUUCCCCUUCUUCCCCUCAAUUUUGGAGCUUAGGUUGCAAACCCACCUCCACUUAUCUUUGGAAAAUAGUUGAAAUUAGAGGUGAACCGAGUGCAAGCAUAAGCGAUAAGGGAAAAGGGCACCUCCAGGGUUGACUAAGCAAGUAAUAGCGGUUUUUUUUACAUGUACAGAGUAUAGAAGCGAGUGAACUCGCUAGUUGGCAGCAGCACGUGUCAAGUCACCACCUCCCUUUUUGCUGGUACAGUCGGAGUUUACACGUGGCAUGCUUAGGUUAUCUUUUGUUGUAAAUAGUUGGGUUACGAAUGUAAGGUUAUAACCUUCUCUUUGCUAGUGGAGUUGUAUAUAUCUAGCUAAACAGGUUAAUGUUAUUUUGUUAUGUAUAGUAGUAAAUAGUGGUGUUAUCAGGUUUAGUUUCUUUUAUGAUAGUGUUGUAUGUUGAGUGUUUGCAGAAUGAAAAAAAAUUGGCAGAUUUUGUUUUGUCGAUCGUACCGAAAAGUAACAUCACUUAUUUGGUUAAAACUAACCGAGUAAGGGGUGUUACAUG